Monodelphis domestica (gray short-tailed opossum) is the source of this 1868-nucleotide long non-coding RNA. The record is from Ensembl. NCBI's taxonomy places the organism in Eukaryota, Metazoa, Chordata, Mammalia, Didelphimorphia, Didelphidae.
UAUUUAUUGGGAAAGCAAAUGGGAUUAUUGGAAAACAGGGGGAUAAUGGGAGGUCUGUAUGGGGUAAGGAAGAGUUAAGGGGAGAGAGGGUAUAUUGCCUGGUGAGGCAAGGGAGGGAGAUGCCCCCUGCUGAGAGGAAACAGCAGGGGUCCAAUAAGGAUGAUUUGUCUUUGAAUGACUGAAACUGAAGUUCAGUUUCCUCUAUGACUAGAAAAGAUAGUCCACUUAUCUGACUGCGAAUUCAAAUAAUAUAAAGUUUAAUAAUCCAGUUGGAAUUGGAGUUUUUCCUUAGCUUCAGAGUAUAGGGCCAGGCCCUAGAGGCUGGCGGAGGGUUUGUCCCACUCCUUCUACUCUCGUUGUUCUAAUUCAGAAUCUUAGCAGUACACAGAAAGCAAACAAGAACAAUUCUAACCUUUAAAAGCCUGUGUCUUUGGGCUGAAACAAGAAGAGCAUGCCUCUCCAGACUGGGCUUAACAAGCUCCUCUCUCCUCCAAUACCCAGAAGCAAGUCCCACACGACAGGAAGGAAGUGCUAGUCACAAGACCCAACUGCCACACCCAGCAGGAAGGAAGUGCUAGUCACAAGAGCCAACUGCCACUCCCAGUAGGGCCCUUCCCCCACAAACUGUCAGUCUUGUUUCCUUUCCACAAGCAUGUGUCGCCAAUAAUCUAAAAAUGAUAUUUGUAUGUUUAUGCUGAAUGUUGGAGGGCAUAAAGCCUCAUCCCUGCAUUAUUUCCCGAAAGCAAAAAUAACCUCAUCUGCAAGAAAAUAACAUGCUACUGGGUGAUACAAAAUGUGAAGAGACAAGUAAAUACCACAAAAUUUGUGAAGGGAGAGGACGUUUACAAUUCGGAAGAUCCGGAAAGACUUCUAGCAACAGGUGGCACAUGAACCAAAUUCUGAAGGAAGUUAUUCUAAAUGAAGGAGAUGAGUCAAGAAAGAAACAAGGAGACUAAGAGAAUUGGCCAGGUUCACACAGCUAGAAAGUAUCUAAGGUGGGAUUUGAAAUCUGUUAUUUCUGAUUCUGAAGUCAUUUCCUUUUCCACAAAGCUAAACUGAUCCCAUUAUUCCUAAGAUAUUUGCUAUCUUUCAAUCCUAGGAUACUUUGUUAUUGUUGUGGUAGUUGUGUCAUUGUUCGAUCUUUUCUGAUUGGUUGUGAUUGUUGCAAUCUUUUCUGAUUGUGACCCCAUUUAGGAUUUUCUUGCCAAAGAUGCUGGAUUGGUUUGUCUUUUCCUUCUCCAGCUCAUUUUACAGAGGAGGAAUUGAGGCAAAGGGGGUCCAAAGCUGGUAAGUGUCUGACAUCAAAUUUGAAUUCAUUAAGAUGUCUUCCUGAUUCCAAAUCCAGUACUUAAUCCAUGGAGCCAACUAGAUGCCCUAAAAUAGAUUAGAGCUAGAUUGUCAAUUUGUUGGUCUUCAACAUCUCAUUUUAAUGUCCCCAUUUGGAAUUUCCUUGGGAAAAAUCCUGCAUAAUUUGCCAUUUCCUUCCCUAGCUCAUUUUACAGAUGAGGAUACUAAGGCAAACACAUAAACUAUCUUGCUCAGGAUCUCAGAGCUAGUAAGUAUUUGAGUCUGGAUUUGAACUCAGAUCUUCCUGACUCCAGGCCUGAUGUUAGAUCCACUGCACCACCUAAUUGCCCUUUCUCUAAACUUCCAAAGAAUCCAAGUUGCUACAAUUUAUGGAUCUUAAUAUCUAAGAUGCUCCCUCAGAUUGAACAUUAUCCACAUUUCCAGGCUUCUGUUGCACUCCUUCCCUGCAUAAAUAUGAUGUUCAAGUUCCUCAUCUAAUAGAUAAAAUUUAUCCUUUUCACUGUGUUCCUUUCCUUUUAAGUGGCUUGUCAAUUUUCCAAGCAAUAGGCUCAAAACCUUGG